ACGGGAGGCAGCAGUGGGGAAUAUUGGGCAAUUGGCGCAAGCCUGACCCAGCAACGCCGCGUGAAGGCUGAAGGUCUUCGGAUUGUAAACUUCUUUGAUUGGGGAAGAAUAAAUGACCUACCCAAAGAACAGGUCACGGCUAACUACGUGCCAGCAGCCGCGGUAAUACGUAGGUGACAAGCGUUAUCCGAAUUUACUGGGUGUAAAGGGCGUGUAGGCGGUUCUGUAAGUCAGAAGUGAAAUUCCCGGGCUCAACCUGGGCGCUGCUUCUGAAACUACAGAACUUAAGUACUGGAGGGGAAAGCGGGAUUCCUAGUGUAGCGGUAAAAUGCACAGAUAUUAGGGGGAACACCGGUGGCGAAGGCGGCUUUCUGGACAGUAACUGACGCUGAGGCGCGAAAGCGUGGGGAGCAAACAGGAUUAGAUACCCUGGUA
RNAcentral lists this ribosomal RNA (435 nucleotides) under uncultured Treponema sp. RNAcentral describes it as "partial 16S ribosomal RNA". It matches the Rfam family "Bacterial small subunit ribosomal RNA", at positions 341 to 792 of the family's 1533-position model. The record is from RNAcentral. Lineage: Bacteria; Pseudomonadati; Spirochaetota; Spirochaetia; Treponematales; Treponemataceae.